UGGGGAAUAUUGGACAAUGGGGGCAACCCUGAUCCAGCCAUGCCGCGUGAGUGAUGAAGGCCUUCGGGUUGUAAAGCUCUUUUGGCGGGGACGAUGAUGACGGUACCCGCAGAAUAAGCCCCGGCUAACUUCGUGCCAGCAGCCGCGGUAAGACGAAGGGGGCUAGCGUUGUUCGGAAUUACUGGGCGUAAAGCGAGUGUAGGCGGUUGCCGUAGUCAGGUGUGAAAGCCUUGAGCUCAACUCAAGAAAUGCACUUGAUACUGGGUGACUAGAGGACCGGAGAGGAUAGUGGAAUUCCCAGUGUAGUGGUGAAAUACGUAGAGAUUGGGAAGAACACCAGUGGCGAAGGCGGCUAUCUGGACGGUUACUGACGCUAAGACUCGAAAGCGUGGGGAGCAAACAGGAUUAGAUACCCUGGUAGUCCACGCCGUAAACGAUGGGUGCUAGACGUUGGCGAGCUUGCUCGUCAGUGUCGCAGCUAACGCGUUAAGCACCCCGCCUGGGGAGUACGGCCGCAAGGGUUGAAACUCAAAGGAAUUGACGGGGGUCAUAGCUGUUUUCCU
This 563-nucleotide ribosomal RNA is filed under the name uncultured bacterium. RNAcentral describes it as "partial 16S ribosomal RNA". It matches the Rfam family "Bacterial small subunit ribosomal RNA", at positions 355 to 939 of the family's 1533-position model. The record is from RNAcentral.